GAUGAACGCUGGCGGCGUGCUUAACACAUGCAAGUCGAACGAUGAAGCCCAGCUUGCUGGGUGGAUUAGUGGCGAACGGGUGGGUAACACGUGAGUAACCUGCCCUUAACUCUGGGAUAAGCCUGGGAAACUGGGUCUAAUACCGGAUAGGAGCGUCCACCGCAUGGUGGGUGUUGGAAAGAUUUAUCGGUUUUGGAUGGACUCGCGGCCUAUCAGCUUGUUGGUGAGGUAAUGGCUCACCAAGGCGACGACGGGUAGCCGGCCUGAGAGGGUGACCGGCCACACUGGGACUGAGACACGGCCCAGACUCCUACGGGAGGCAGCAGUGGGGAAUAUUGCACAAUGGGCGAAAGCCUGAUGCAGCGACGCCGCGUGAGGGAUGACGGCCUUCGGGUUGUAAACCUCUUUCAGUAGGGAAGAAGCGAAAGUGACGGUACCUGCAGAAGAAGCACCGGCUAACUACGUG
RNAcentral lists this ribosomal RNA (466 nucleotides) under uncultured bacterium. RNAcentral describes it as "partial 16S ribosomal RNA". It matches the Rfam family "Bacterial small subunit ribosomal RNA", at positions 28 to 507 of the family's 1533-position model. The record is from RNAcentral.